CCUACGGGUGGCAGCAGUGGGGAAUAUUGCACAAUGGGGGAAACCCUGAUGCAGCAACGCCGCGUGAGUGAAGAAGUAUUUCGGUAUGUAAAGCUCUAUCAUCAGGGAAGAAGAUGACGGUACCUGAAUAAGAAGCCCCGGCUAACUACGUGCCAGCAGCCGCGGUAAUACGUAGGGGGCAAGCGUUAUCCGGAUUUACUGGGUGUAAAGGGAGCGCAGACGGCAGUGCAAGUCUGGAGUGAAAGCCCGGGGCACACCCCCGGAACUGCGCUGGAAACUGUGCGGCUAGAGUAAGGGAGGGGCAGGUGGAAUUCCUAGUGUAGCGGUGAAAUGCGUAGAUAUGAGGAGGAACACCAGUGGCGAAGGCGGCCUGCUGUACAGUAACUGACGUUGAGGCUCGAAAGCGUGGGGAGCAAACAGGAUUAGAUACCCCAGUAGUC
This 440-nucleotide ribosomal RNA is filed under the name uncultured bacterium. Its description in RNAcentral is "partial 16S ribosomal RNA". It matches the Rfam family "Bacterial small subunit ribosomal RNA", at positions 338 to 795 of the family's 1533-position model. The record is from RNAcentral.